RNAcentral lists this unclassified non-coding RNA (342 nucleotides) under Hevea brasiliensis (rubber tree). Lineage: Eukaryota; Viridiplantae; Streptophyta; Magnoliopsida; Malpighiales; Euphorbiaceae. The record is from RNAcentral.
UAAACCGAAAACUGCUCUCCCCUAAUGUUUUGUUCCUAAAAGCCUUGAUAGAAGUGGUGACAGAGAGAGAAAGAGAGAGAGAAAAAAAACCAUUAGUUCCCCACUUCAACUAGAGUUUGAAUGUGAGCUAUUGAGAAAGAGAACCUACAGUAUACAAUCAACUGAGUCAAAAAAUUUUAGUGUUUUUUUGACAAUUUUAUAUUUGUAGACACCCUCUGCCCUGGCUCUCUUUCUCUUGUGCAUGCAGGAGGGAGAGUACAUGCAUAUUUAUGGUUUGUGUUUUUUAUAGGGUAAUAUCUAUUUUCCAAUGAAAAUUUCAGGGCAAUUUCUGCUCGGUAUGAG